RNAcentral lists this ribosomal RNA (407 nucleotides) under bacterium enrichment culture clone ALO1_GLFRUDD03GARJJ. RNAcentral's name for it is "bacterial SSU rRNA". It matches the Rfam family "Bacterial small subunit ribosomal RNA", at positions 9 to 416 of the family's 1533-position model. The record is from RNAcentral.
GAGUUUGAUCGUGGCUUAGAUUGAACGCUGGCGGCAUGCCUUACACAUGCAAGUCGAACGGCAGCACGGGAGCUUGCUCCUGGUGGCGAGUGGCGAACGGGUGAGUAAUGCAUCGGAACGUAUCCUGGAGUGGGGGAUAACGUAGCGAAAGUUACGCUAAUACCGCAUAUUCUGUGAGCAGGAAAGCGGGGGACCUUCGGGCCUCGCGCUCUUGGAGCGGCCGAUGUCGGAUUAGCUAGUUGGUGAGGUAAAGGCUCACCAAGGCGACGAUCCGUAGCAGGUCUGAGAGGAUGAUCUGCCACACUGGAACUGAGACACGGUCCAGACUCCUACGGGAGGCAGCAGUGGGGAAUUUUGGACAAUGGGGGCAACCCUGAUCCAGCCAUGCCGCGUGAGUGAAGAAGGCC